RNAcentral lists this ribosomal RNA (1407 nucleotides) under uncultured Rhizaria. Its description in RNAcentral is "SSU rRNA". It matches the Rfam family "Eukaryotic small subunit ribosomal RNA", at positions 384 to 1804 of the family's 1831-position model. The record is from RNAcentral.
CGGAGAGGGCGCAUGAGAAACGGCUACCACUUCUAAGGAAGGCAGCUGGCGCGCAAAUUACCCAAUCCUGACUCAGGGAGGUAGUGACAAGAAAUAACAAUAAACCGGCUUAUGCCGGUUUAAUUGGAAUGAGUACAAUUUAAACAUCUUAACGAGGAACAAUUGGAGGGCAAGUCUGGUGCCAGCAGCCGCGGUAAUUCCAGCUCCAAUAGCGUAUACUAAUGUUGUUGCAGUUAAAAAGCUCGUAGUUGGAUUUCUGCGGGGACGGAGCGGCCGGACGCAACUUGCGUCUCGAGCUAGCGCUUUCCCCACAUCCUGCCGCGAACCGUGCUACCAUUAGUUUGGUGGCGCUGGGGAUCGGCUCGAUUACUUUGAGAAAAAUAGAGUGUUCAAAGCAGGCCACACGCCCUGAAUAAGUUAGCAUGGAAUAAUGACUAAGGACUUUGGUUCUUUUCGUUGGUGUUCGGGACUGAAGUAAUGAUUGAUAGGGACAGUUGGGGCGGUCCGUAUUCCAAAGCGAGAGGUGAAAUUCUUAGACCUUCGGAAGACGAACAGCUGCGAAAGCGUUCCGCAAGGAUGUUCCCUUUGAUCAAGAACGAGAGUUGGGGGAUCGAAGACGAUCAGAUACCGUCGUAGUCUCAACUAUAAACUAUACCAGCUAGGGAUCGGCCAACGUUUAAUUAUUCGACUUGGUCGGCACCUUAUGAGAAAUCAAAGCAUCUGGGUUCCGGGGGGAGUAUGGUCGCAAGGCUGAAACUUAAAGGAAUUGACGGAAGGGCACCACCAGGCGUGGAGCCUGUGGCUUAAUUUGACUCAACACGGGAAAACUCACCAGGUCCAGACAUAGGAAGGAUUGACAGAUUGAUAGCUCUUUCUUGAUUCUGUGGGUGGUGGUGCAUGGCCGUUUUUAGUCGGCGAAGUGAUUUGUCUGCUUAAUUGCGUUAACGGACGAGACCCCAGCCUGCUAAAUAGCGCGGCCGAGCUUUGCUCGGUGCGAGCUUCUUAGAGGGACCAUGAUGCGCGAUAGCACAAGGAAGUUUGGGGCAACAACAGGUCUGUGAUGCCCUUAGAUGUUCUGGGCCGCACACGGGCUACACUGGCGCCUGCAACGAGCAUAUCAGCUGGCCCGAGAGGGUCUUGGCUAAUCUUUGGAACCGGCGCCGUGCUUGGGAUUGACCAUUGCAAUUGUUGGUCAUGCAACGAGGAAUGCCUUGUAAACGCGAGUCAUCAGCUCGCAUUGAAUACGUCCCUGCCCUUUGUACAUACCGCCCGUCGCUCCUACCGAUGAAUGUUCCGAUGAAAUUUUCGGAGAGCGCCGGAGAACGGGGCUCUGCCCUGCAGAACUGGAGGCUCAAAGUCACUUAAAUCUGAACAUUUCGAGGAAGGAGAAGUCGUAACAAGGUAACC